UACGUAGGUGGCAAGCGUUGUCCGGAUUUACUGGGCGUAAAGAGCGCGCAGGCGGUCGGAUAAGUCGAAUGUGAAAGCCCCCGGCUCAACUGGGGAGGGUCAUUCGAUACUGAUCGACUCGAAGGCAGGAGAGGGUAGUGGAAUUCCCGGUGUAGUGGUGAAAUGCGUAGAUAUCGGGAGGAACACCAGUGGCGAAGGCGACUACCUGGCCUGUUCUUGACGCUGAGGCGCGAAAGCUAGGGGAGCAAACGGG
Molecule: ribosomal RNA, 253 nt
Filed under: uncultured bacterium
Lineage: Bacteria
Description: partial 16S ribosomal RNA
Rfam family: Bacterial small subunit ribosomal RNA
Source: RNAcentral